GCCCUGGUGGCCCAAUGGAUAAGGCACUGGCUUCCUAAGAUGGGGUUGUGGGUUUGAGCCCCAUCUGGGGUG
RNAcentral lists this transfer RNA (72 nucleotides) under Scleropages formosus (Asian bonytongue). It matches the Rfam family "tRNA". From Rfam's summary of the family: Transfer RNA (tRNA) molecules are approximately 80 nucleotides in length. Lineage: Eukaryota; Metazoa; Chordata; Actinopteri; Osteoglossiformes; Osteoglossidae. The record is from Rfam by way of RNAcentral.